AAUCAGGUAGAAAUCGCAACAGGAAAACCGAUACCUGGCUAGUCACCGCACAAACCUUAAAACCGGGAGUAAACUUAGAUCUUGCCCUAACCCCAUCGCAUUGGUCUCAAACAUCUCAAAGACAUGAUAUCUAAACGAUACGAGAUUCCUAGAACAUGUCUCUUCGUUCAUAUCUCAACGUUCCCGAAAAAUCGUAAAUAAUUUUUACGAAAACUCGCGUCUCGAACGAACUAACAGAUUGAACGCCUCAACGAAGAUAAAUAUGAGAUGACAACUCAUAUUCACUUCAAAACAACUCUAAAAUAAGUAACCCAAACAGACAUCCAUUAUAUAAACCGCAUAGCGGUAGGGGUUCAAAGCCACCAACGGCCAAUCCUGACAAAAAUGGCCAAAAUAGGCCCGUACAAAGUUCGAAAGCCAUACUCGGCCAGACAUACAUGGACAAAGGCCACAC
RNAcentral lists this long non-coding RNA (454 nucleotides) under Brassica napus (rape). RNAcentral's name for it is "long non-coding RNA (BNAP_LNC023463)". Lineage: Eukaryota; Viridiplantae; Streptophyta; Magnoliopsida; Brassicales; Brassicaceae. The record is from RNAcentral.